GGUGCUAUACAUGCAAGUAGAACGCUGAAGAGAGGAGCUUGCUCUUCUUGGAUGAGUUGCGAACGGGUGAGUAACGCGUAGGUAACCUGCCUUGUAGCGGGGGAUAACUAUUGGAAACGAUAGCUAAUACCGCAUAACAAUGGAUGACACAUGUCAUUUAUUUGAAAGGGGCAAUUGCUCCACUACAAGAUGGACCUGCGUUGUAUUAGCUAGUAGGUGAGGUAACGGCUCACCUAGGCGACGAUACAUAGCCGACCUGAGAGGGUGAUCGGCCACACUGGGACUGAGACACGGCCCAGACUCCUACGGGAGGCAGCAGUAGGGAAUCUUCGGCAAUGGGGGCAACCCUGACCGAGCAACGCCGCGUGAGUGAAGAAGGUUUUCGGAUCGUAAAGCUCUGUUGUAAGUCAAGAACGAGUGUGAGAUUGGAAAGUUCACACUGUGACGGUAGCUUACCAGAAAGGGACGGCUAACUACGUGCCAGCAGCCGCGGUAAUACGUAGGUCCCGAGCGUUGUCCGGAUUUAUUGGGCGUAAAGCGAGCGCAGGCGGUUUGAUAAGUCUGAAGUUAAAGGCUGUGGCUCAACCAUAGUUCGCUUUGGAAACUGUCAAACUUGAGUGCAGAAGGGGAGAGUGGAAUUCCAUGUGUAGCGGUGAAAUGCGUAGAUAUAUGGAGGAACACCGGUGGCGAAAGCGGCUCUCUGGUCUGUAACUGACGCUGAGGCUCGAAAGCGUGGGGAGCGAACAGGAUUAGAUACCCUGGUAGUCCACGCCGUAAACGAUGAGUGCUAGUGUUGGAUCCUUUCCGGGAUUCAGUGCCGCAGCUAACGCAUUAAGCACUCCGUCCUGGGGAGUACGACCGCAAGGUUGAAACUCAAAGGAAUUGACGGGGGCCCGCACAAGCGGUGGAGCAUGUGGUUUAAUUCGAAGCAACGCGAAGAACCUUAC
Molecule: ribosomal RNA, 947 nt
Filed under: Streptococcus salivarius
Lineage: Bacteria; Bacillati; Bacillota; Bacilli; Lactobacillales; Streptococcaceae
Description: bacterial SSU rRNA
Rfam family: Bacterial small subunit ribosomal RNA
Source: RNAcentral